CCUACGGGAGGCAGCAGUGGGGAAUAUUGGACAAUGGGGGGAACCCUGAUCCAGCCAUGCCGCGUGUGUGAAGAAGGCCUUUUGGUUGUAAAGCACUUUAAGCAGUGAAGAAGACUCUUCGGUUAAUACCCGGGGACGAUGACANUAGCUGCAG
This 154-nucleotide ribosomal RNA is filed under the name uncultured Psychrobacter sp. Its description in RNAcentral is "partial 16S ribosomal RNA". It matches the Rfam family "Bacterial small subunit ribosomal RNA", at positions 338 to 484 of the family's 1533-position model. Lineage: Bacteria; Pseudomonadati; Pseudomonadota; Gammaproteobacteria; Moraxellales; Moraxellaceae. The record is from RNAcentral.